RNAcentral lists this long non-coding RNA (273 nucleotides) under Musa acuminata (dwarf banana). Its description in RNAcentral is "long non-coding RNA (MACU_LNC002355)". Lineage: Eukaryota; Viridiplantae; Streptophyta; Magnoliopsida; Zingiberales; Musaceae. The record is from RNAcentral.
GCGGCCAUGACCUUCUCUUCUGCAUCCCUAAUGGCGAGCACGACUCGGCUGCCGAUGAAGGCCUUUUCCCUCGGCUCGCCUAACUCCGCGUUCUUCGCCGGCGGCGGAGAGAGGGUGGCCCUCGCGCGGUCGACGCUUGCGUUCGGGCCCCAUCCCCGCCUCCGCCGCCACCGGGGCCUCGGGUGCCGCUGCAUGUUCGGCCUCGGGGUCCCGGAGCUCGUCGUGAUCGCAGGAGUCACCGCGCUCGUCUUCGGCCCGAAGAAACUCCCCGAG